AGAAUCGUCUCUAUGGGGCUGCUGGUCGACUUGUCCACUGGCGUGCGGUCCAGGAGAUACGGCGGCGGCACGUCCUCGUGCGUGGGGAUCGCUGAGGCGGCCUGCUGGUUGUGCGGGUGCGUCGACGGCGCCGCCGGCGGACCCAUGUGCCUCGUCUCCCACUUAUCCUCCCCAACCCCCGCCGUCGACGGCGCCGGAGGAGGCUGCUGGUUGCCCUCCGCCAUGGCUAGAACUCGCAAGAGGAUGAUGAACCAACCGCCUGAGAUGACAAGAGAUGGAAGAAACUUGCCCGAAGAAGAAGGCAGAAGGAUGCGCCAACCGUUCCAGAUGACAAGGGAAGGAACCGAC
Molecule: long non-coding RNA, 348 nt
Filed under: Spirodela polyrhiza (greater duckweed)
Lineage: Eukaryota; Viridiplantae; Streptophyta; Magnoliopsida; Alismatales; Araceae
Description: long non-coding RNA (SPOL_LNC002110)
Source: RNAcentral